AGAGUUUGAUCCUGGCUCAGGACGAACGCUGGCGGCGUGCCUAAGACAUGCAAGUCGAGCGGACCACUUCGGUGGUUAGCGGCGGACGGGUGAGUAACACGUGGAUAACCUGCCUUGUGCUCUGGGAUAACAGGCCGAAAGGCUUGCUAAUACCGGACGAGCUCACGGGCCCGCAUGGGUCCGGGAGAAAAGGCGCUGCAAGGCGCUGGGACAAGAGGGGUCCGCGGCCCAUUAGCUAGUUGGAGGGGUAACGGCCCACCAAGGCGACGAUGGGUAGCCGGCCUGAGAGGGCGACCGGCCACACUGGGACUGAGACACGGCCCAGACUCCUACGGGAGGCAGCAGUCGGGAAUUUUGCACAAUGGCCGAAAGGCUGAUGCAGCAACGCCGCGUGAGUGAAGAAGGCCUUCGGGUUGUAAAGCUCUGUUGCCCGUGACGAAGUGCGUAAUCAGGAAAUGGGUUACGUUUGACGGUAGCGGGAGAGGAAGCCCCGGCUAACUACGUGCCAGCAGCCGCGGUAAUACGUAGGGGGCGAGCGUUGUCCGGAUUUAUUGGGCGUAAAGGGCGUGUAGGCGGUUCUUUAAGUCAGGGGUGAAACCCCGGAGCUCAACUCCGGGCCUGCCUCUGAAACUGGAGAACUUGAGUACUCUAGAGGGCAGUGGAAUUGCCGGUGUAGCAGUGAAAUGCGUAGAGAUCGGCAGGAACACCAGUGGCGAAGGCGACUGCCUGGGGAGAAACUGACGCUGAGGCGCGAAAGCUGGGGGAGCAAACGGGAUUAGAUACCCCGGUAGUCCCAGCCG
This 800-nucleotide ribosomal RNA is filed under the name uncultured Symbiobacterium sp. Its description in RNAcentral is "bacterial SSU rRNA". It matches the Rfam family "Bacterial small subunit ribosomal RNA", at positions 8 to 802 of the family's 1533-position model. Lineage: Bacteria; Bacillati; Bacillota; Clostridia; Eubacteriales; Symbiobacteriaceae. The record is from RNAcentral.